UGCCAACACACAUUCAGAGGUCGGCUAUUGGAUCUGAUUCUAAUCAGCUCAAACGAGAGCUAGGGAAACUGAACUAUUUCCAUUUUAACUGCAGAUCUUUGGACGACUGUGAGACGAAUGGCAGCUCUUCCUGGGAACGUGCUGACCGUCAGCAGUGUUACUGAGUGUCUUCUUUCUUCCAGGUGCUUUGCCUCGUUACUGUGAUAAAAAAUCAGCGGGCUUGCAAUAUCACUGCACCAAACAACAUUGAAGCUCUGAGUGGAUCUUGUUUGGCGAUCCCAUGUAGUUUUACUACAAAUAAUUCAAAUUUUAAUAGGACCAUUAGUAUCUAUGGAGUUUGGAUGAAACAUACUUUAGACUUUGAGUCUAAUAAAAAGAAUGUUAUUUUCAACAGCAGUGAGUCAGUAAACAAUUAUUCAUUGGAAUUAAGUGGAAACCUUGCAGAUAAAAACUGCACCACUCUGUUUACUGAAAUAAACUUAAGUUAUGCAGACACAUACUUCUUCAGGAUUGAGAACGGACAAUUCAAAGCAACAGCCUGCGCUCAUCCUCUCAAUAUAU
Molecule: long non-coding RNA, 561 nt
Organism: Xiphophorus hellerii (green swordtail)
Lineage: Eukaryota; Metazoa; Chordata; Actinopteri; Cyprinodontiformes; Poeciliidae
Exons: 3
Source: RefSeq, a predicted model, not a curated record